Molecule: ribosomal RNA, 688 nt
Filed under: Gilliamella sp. Occ4-3
Lineage: Bacteria; Pseudomonadati; Pseudomonadota; Gammaproteobacteria; Orbales; Orbaceae
Description: bacterial SSU rRNA
Rfam family: Bacterial small subunit ribosomal RNA
Source: RNAcentral
CCGAAGCUAACGCGAUAAAUCGACCGCCUGGGGAGUACGGCCGCAAGGUUAAAACUCAAAUGAAUUGACGGGGGCCCGCACAAGCGGUGGAGCAUGUGGUUUAAUUCGAUGCAACGCGAAGAACCUUACCUGGUCUUGACAUCCACAGAAUCUUGUAGAGAUACGAGAGUGCCUUCGGGAACUGUGAGACAGGUGCUGCAUGGCUGUCGUCAGCUCGUGUUGUGAAAUGUUGGGUUAAGUCCCGCAACGAGCGCAACCCUUAUCCUUUGUUGCCAUCGAUUAGGUCGGGAACUCAAAGGAGACUGCCGUUGAUAAAGCGGAGGAAGGUGGGGACGACGUCAAGUCAUCAUGGCCCUUACGACCAGGGCUACACACGUGCUACAAUGGCGUAUACAAAGGGAGGCGACCUCGCGAGAGUAAGCGGACCUCACAAAGUACGUCUAAGUCCGGAUUGGAGUCUGCAACUCGACUCCAUGAAGUCGGAAUCGCUAGUAAUCGUGAAUCAGAAUGUCACGGUGAAUACGUUCCCGGGCCUUGUACACACCGCCCGUCACACCAUGGGAGUGGGUUGCACCAGAAGUAGAUAGCUUAACCUUCGGGAGGGCGUUUACCACGGUGUGAUUCAUGACUGGGGUGAAGUCGUAACAAGGUAACCGUAGGGGAACCUGCGGUUGGAUCACCUCCUUAC